GAUGAAGAACGUAGCGAAAUGCGAUAAGUAAUGUGAAUUGCAGAAUUCAGUGAAUCAUCGAAUCCUUGAACGCACAUUGCGCCCCUUGGUAUUCCGAGGGGCAUGCCUGUUCGAGCGUCAUAUUAACCACUCCCGCUUGCGGGGUCUUGGGCUUCGCCUCCGGGCGGGCCUUAAAAUCAGUGGCGGUGCCGUCGGGCUCUACGCGUAGUAAAUUUUCUCGCGAUAGGGUCCCGGUGGAUGCUUGCCAACAACCCCCAACUUCUUAAGGUUGACCUCGGAUCAGGUAGGGAUACCCGCUGAACUUAAGCAUAUCAAUAAGCGGAGGA
This 326-nucleotide unclassified non-coding RNA is filed under the name soil metagenome. RNAcentral describes it as "partial contains 5.8S ribosomal RNA, internal transcribed spacer 2, and large subunit ribosomal RNA". The stretch from base 1 to 120 matches the Rfam family "5.8S ribosomal RNA", at positions 35 to 154 of the family's 154-position model. The record is from RNAcentral.